Molecule: long non-coding RNA, 555 nt
Organism: Hemicordylus capensis (graceful crag lizard)
Lineage: Eukaryota; Metazoa; Chordata; Lepidosauria; Squamata; Cordylidae
Exons: 3
Source: RefSeq, a predicted model, not a curated record
AAGCAAGCCAGGAAGGAGGAGGCAGCCAGAGUGUUCUCUGCAGCAGAAGACCCCUUGCUGCCCUGCUUAACCCAGACCAGCAUUUGCCAGAAUUUGUCCUUGACAACAAAUAAAGUGAGACGAUGAGGAUCAUUCCAGCUGAAAUAACAAGCUUCUUUGGAGCUUGAAAAUACAAGCAGCCAUCAGCAUCUUCUGCUAACCUCGAGGCAACUGAAAUAUUAAAGGAGGAUCAUCUACCUGCAUCUCGUAGCAUGUUUACCAGUCGAUACACAUCUGAGCAGUUGUACUACAAAAGCUCCACAGUGAAUUAGUCCAGCAAAGGAACAGAGCAGAGCUCAAGUUCAUGCCUUGCAUUCACCCCCGAACUGCUUUUUUCUGCUAUGGUGAGGAUUUCAGAACAUUUCCUUUCUUACUUCAGCUAUAAUGAUGGAAAGCAUGUUCAUCUGUUUUUGUUCUUUUUACCAUCUCCUGCUCCAGUCUUAAAAAAGACAUGGCAUCAUUUAAUAGAAAAGUACAGCAUAAUAGUUUAGAAGAAUAACCUUUGUGGGAGUCAUG